RNAcentral lists this ribosomal RNA (501 nucleotides) under uncultured bacterium. RNAcentral's name for it is "partial 16S ribosomal RNA". It matches the Rfam family "Bacterial small subunit ribosomal RNA", at positions 30 to 523 of the family's 1533-position model. The record is from RNAcentral.
AUUGAACGCUGGCGGCAGGCUUAACACAUGCAAGUCGAGCGGGGGAAGGUAGCUUGCUACCGGACCUAGCGGCGGACAGGUGAGUAAUGCUUAGGAAUCUGCCUAUUAGUGGGGGACAACAUCUCGAAAGGGAUGCUAAUACCGCAUACGUCCUACGGGAGAAAGCAGGGGAUCUUCGGACCUUGCGCUAAUAGAUGAGCCUAAGUCGGAUUAGCUAGUUGGUGGGGUAAAGGCCUACCAAGGGGACGAUCUGUAGCGGGUCUGAGAGGAUGAUCCGCCACACUGGGACUGAGACACGGCCCAGACUCCUACGGGAGGCAGCAGUGGGGAAUAUCGGACAAUGGGGGGAACCCUGAUCCAGCCAUGCCGCGUGUGUGAAGAAGGCCUUAUGGUUGUAAAGCACUUUAAGCGAGGAGGAGGCUACUUUAGUUAAUACCUAGAGAUAGUGGACGUUACUCGCAGAAUAAGCACCGGCUAACUCUGUGCCAGCAGCCGCCGUAA